This 497-nucleotide ribosomal RNA is filed under the name uncultured bacterium. RNAcentral's name for it is "partial 16S ribosomal RNA". It matches the Rfam family "Bacterial small subunit ribosomal RNA", at positions 28 to 507 of the family's 1533-position model. The record is from RNAcentral.
GACGAACGCUGGCGGCGUGCCUAAUACAUGCAAGUUGAGCGAUGAGGCGUGGUGCUUGCACCAAUUUGGAUAGCAGCGAACGGGUGAGUACCGCGUGGGGAAUCUGCCUUUGAGCGGGGGACAACUUUUGGAAACGAAUGCUAAUACCGCAUAAUAUCUUUAAACAUAUGUUUCAAGUUUGAAAGAUGCAUUUGCUUCACUUAAAGAUGAUCCCGCGUUGUAUUAGCUUGUUGGUGAGGUAAAGGCCCAACAAAGCGAUGAUACAUGGACGAUCUGGAGUGGUGGUUGGCCACCUUGGGACCGGGACGCGGCCCAAACUCCCUCGGGGGGCAGCAGGAGGGAAACUUCGGCAAUGGACGAAAGUCUGACCGAACCACGCCGCCGGAGUGAAGAAAGUUUUCGGGAUGGAAAACUCUGUUGGUAGAGAAAGACCUUGGUGGGAGUUGAAUGCUCACCUAUUGACGGUAACUACUCAGAAAGCGACGGCUAACUACGUG